Triticum urartu is the source of this 479-nucleotide non-coding RNA. NCBI's taxonomy places the organism in Eukaryota, Viridiplantae, Streptophyta, Magnoliopsida, Poales, Poaceae. The record is from RefSeq and is a predicted model, not a curated record.
CAUCUUCCCAAAGCCACAGGAGAGCAGGCAGAGCAGAAUCCUUGGAGGCAAUUCUUCUUCCAUAGUAACCUAACCCACCCUCUGCGAAGAUGUACAACGCUCCGUCGGGGCAGGAGAUGUCCUACACGGACCAUGUGCAGAAGCGCCACGAGGAGAAGGGCUGCAUCUACGCAUGCGUGUUCACGGCGCUGUGCUGCUUUUGCUGCUACGAGACGUGCGAGUGCUGCCUCGACUGCCUCUGCUGCUGCUGCAACUAGACCAGGCCGCCGGAGGCCGCAAGGCGCAGCAGCAGAGAUCCACCGGCCUCCGCCGCCUUUCAUAAUAAGCAUAUGUGUCUUGUGCCUUAGCUCGAUGAGAACUGUAUCAGAUAUUGCUGUAAUAUUAUAUGUCCAGGACAAGGCUAUCACUGUAAACAUCGAUUAUGGUUUGUGCUGCAUCUUAAUUUAAUUAGCAUAAGAUUCCGGUUCCCUGGCAUCAAA